Molecule: long non-coding RNA, 1807 nt
Filed under: Haliotis rufescens (red abalone)
Lineage: Eukaryota; Metazoa; Mollusca; Gastropoda; Lepetellida; Haliotidae
Description: uncharacterized LOC125375865
Source: RNAcentral
ACAUACAUUGUAAAGGAAUCGUUUAGUACCAUAUACAUGAAUAUAGAAAUGUAAUGACUACUCUAUUAACAUAAGACGUUCGAUAUAGAGUUGUGAACGGACCUAACAAUUUACAUCUACCAUCUUUUAUUAUCUCUGUCGCAGAAAGCACACUUCGUUGUGAACUGCAGUGUUAUAGUGAGAACCUUUGACACAGAAGACAAUUAUUUCUAAAAUAUGUUCUAAAAUAACGUAUCGCUUUACCGUAUGCAUGUACAUAGUAUAACGUUAGUUGUUAUCUAUUAGAUUUUUGAUCCCCGUACAUUGCUAAAACUGCACAAUGCGACACCCGGGUAUACGACUAUUAAAAAACCUCCAAUACAACAAUGUUGAUAAACAAAGAUUAUUUGUGAUAUCUACAAGCAGUGUCACAAUAAAACUGAAGAUUUUGAUUUUGUAUCGCCUAUGAAAAGUAAUUUAUUCUGCAAACAUGCAGUGCCACGGAAACUCUAACUAUCUUUUAUUAAGAAGCUGCAUAUGUGUUAUUUCGUUUAAACAAUUUGUAACUACAGUUUGAAUCCCCUUUUUAACAUGGACAUAUUAUACACUUGAUGAGAUUGUUUGCGCGGCUCAGUUCUCAGUUCACAUGUUUGACAAAUGGCACUAUAAAACGUUGGUAAAAAUAUCAAAAACAGCCUUUUUAAUUUGGAAUAGUAUAUGCCCAAUGACGGUUUGGCAGAAACCACAAAAAAGUAUAGAUUGUCAAUAACAUGUCGCACAUACCGGGCCCUAGUUCAAGAUCAAAGAUAAUUGCCGCCUUGGAAUGUCUAGCGGAAUGAUUGACACCUGUUAUCACUGUAAAUGUCUUGUCAAGGCUUGACUAACGAUGACUCAACGCCAAUUUAAAGAGGACAUUACCACAUGUUUAUUGAUAAACAUUGAGAAUAACCAUAGACAGUAUGGCGCCGCUUAAUUUGACUGUCUGCCGCUUUCACACUGAUUUGACAAUAUGCAUAGGUAACACGCGUUACUGCCGCAUGAGUUUGUUAUUUUCUAUGAUGGGUAGUGAUACGUGUGCGAUUUAUUUGCAAUGAAACUUAGCCAAUUCUCUAUGACAUCGGCAUUUGUGCACGGGAACCACGGCGUGUAUGUUUAUUUCUCUCAAAUCGUAAACGUAAUUAUUAAUUACUACAGUCACCUACUACAAUAUUUUGGGUUAUUUGUCAUUUGGAUAUUUUCUUAAUAACUUAAGACAAAUAAUUGAUAUAUGAAUUAUUUAUAUUAAUAUGAAUUCAGGCUCUUGAAAUAGAGUUUAUUAACAUCAUUCCUCUAUUUGGCUGGCAUUUUGAGUAGAUUGUUCUGACUAAAUCUAGUUCCACCAUGCAAACUACAUGUUUUCCUCUGAAUUUAUAAUCAGUAUCUCUUCAAUUGUAAUUAUUCUACCUGCGUUUUAUGUUAUAAGAAAACCGAACAGUUAUCAUCAUUCGAUAGGACAAAGGCUUAACUAUGCUUCUUACCCAAACUACCAAACUAAGUAUUCAGAUGUGUGACCAUAUCCCUACAAACACGCUAAAACCAAGCAAUCCCAUUUCACUUACAUAUUGUUUGAAACACAUGCUAGUCAAUCGCAAAAUACUGAUUCGCAUUUUAGAUUCAAGGUAAGCAAUGCAUUAUAUACUUACAACAUAUUUAUCAUGUUCAAUUUAAGGAUCCGAAUACCAGAUCGACGAGGAGGACAAGAGUGACACAUCGUCGGAAUUUGCCACCAAUUACCAGAGUCCAGUCAAGCGCAAGAACAAAAUCUUGAGACAAAGGGAAGAAAAUGGAA